UACUCCAUCCAGCCCAACCUUCCUUGCCCACUCCUCUCGAUCCCAUCGUUCGUGGCCGCCGCCGUCCGAGGGGAGUCGCCGCCGCCGCGUCUCUCGAUCCCAUCGGCCCCGUCGGAUCUCGCCGCUGGCGGACGACUCGAGAAGACCCCGCCGGAUCUCGCCCUCGUCAUCAGUUCUGGAUCGCCGCCGCCGCCGAUCCCCUCGGGAAAACAACGCCGAUCCCCUGCUCGCCCACGCACGCUGCCGCGGAUGAAGGCCGCCUGCUCGCGAUCCCCAAACCUGCUGGCGCCGCGCUCCGUAGGAUCCAAGUACGCCCCUCUCCGUGGUGUUCACUGAUUGCUUGGAGCAACAACGUGCUGUUGGAGUUGCCGAAGCAUUAGGUGAUUCGAUUGUGUGCGUUUGCUGGAUUUGUUUGACGAAGGAAAGAUGACGAUGAAGGACACACAGAGGAGUGUGAGCGGUGAUGGUACCAAGGUUACCGGCAGGUAUGCAUGCAGGAACUGACUGUACAGUGUUCCUAUAAUGCUACUGGUUUUAACGUCUGUACUGUGAUGCUACUGGCAGUUUAAAUAAAUCUGCUAUCAUUUGGGAUGUGAGUUGUCACAACUCGCUGUGCUCUGGUGUUCAGCUCAGAAUUUCUUUUGGGAAUGAUU
This is a long non-coding RNA of Triticum aestivum (bread wheat), 653 nucleotides long. RefSeq lists it as uncharacterized. NCBI's taxonomy places the organism in Eukaryota, Viridiplantae, Streptophyta, Magnoliopsida, Poales, Poaceae. The transcript is spliced from 2 exons. The record is from RefSeq and is a predicted model, not a curated record.